AGGUGCUUGCAUGGCUGUCGUCAGCUCGUGUCGUAAGAUGUUGGGUUAAGUCCCGCAACGAGCGCAACCCUUGCCAUUAGUUGCUACGAAAGGGCACUCUAAUGGGACUGCCGGUGACAAACCGGAGAAAGGUGGGGAUGACGUCAAGUCCUCAUGGCCCUUAUAGGUGGGGCUACACACGUCAUACAAUGGCUGGUACAGAGGGUUGCCAACCCGCGAGGGGGAGCCAAUCCCAUAAAGCCAGUCGUAGUCCGGAUCGCAGUCUGCAACUCGACUGCGUGAAGUCGGAAUCGCUAGUAAUCGCGGAUCAGAUAGUCGCGGUGAAUACGUUCCCGGGUCUUGUACACACCGCCCGUCACACCAUGGGAGCGGGUUCUGCCAGAAGUAGUUAGCCUAACCGCAAGGGGGGCGAUUACCACGGCAGGGUUCGUGGCUGGGGUGAAGUCGUAACAAGGUAACCAAUC
RNAcentral lists this ribosomal RNA (464 nucleotides) under uncultured bacterium. Its description in RNAcentral is "bacterial SSU rRNA". It matches the Rfam family "Bacterial small subunit ribosomal RNA", at positions 1036 to 1505 of the family's 1533-position model. The record is from RNAcentral.